AUGACUACAUGUUGUUUUUCAGUUGGUGUUGCUCUCGGGCUGGUCAUUGCUGGUCUGCUCUUAGUGUUGUGUUAUGUGUAUAAAUCUCGGAGAGACAAACAGUGCAACCAAGGCCACAGAGAUGUGGAAGCGGGUCAGGGCAUUCCAGAACCAAACUCCAUUCCUCUGAUGCAGAAUGAGCAACGUGAUGCCAGUGACCAAGGAGGUGAGCCAGGAGAGGAGAGCAGGCAGCCCAUGGACAAUGAAGAGACAGGCGCUGACAACCCUCUGCUGAAUGGAGAUGCCAGUGGCCAAGGAGAGGAAGGUGUUCUAGGAAUGGAGGAUGGAAAGCUGUCAGACAAUGACAGAGCAGACACUGAAAUCUGUCAGAAGACACAUGCUGAUUCCCAUCCACUGAAUGUACCCAAGGUUGUCAGGGUUAACAGCCAGACUGAUGACCCACAGCUUCUUGGUCAACCUCAGAGCAAUGGACAUGUGCCAUAUAGAAGGUGAGAAUGUGUAUGUAUCUGUGUGUAAAGUUGCAUGGGAUGGUAGAGGAGGUUAAA
Molecule: long non-coding RNA, 545 nt
Filed under: Oncorhynchus mykiss (rainbow trout)
Lineage: Eukaryota; Metazoa; Chordata; Actinopteri; Salmoniformes; Salmonidae
Description: lncRNA (ENSOMYG00000053691.1)
Source: RNAcentral